UUAAGUUCAGCGGGUAUUCCUACCUGAUCCGAGGUCAACCUUAAAAAGUGGUGUGUUUUACGGCAAGCGCCCGCCGCCGCGCCCAGAGCGAAGAAAUGCUACUGCGCUCGGUGUGACAGCGAGCCCGCCACUGGUUUUAGGGGCCUGCGGCAGCCGCAGGGCCCCAACGCAAGCCCGGGGGCUUGAUGGUUGAAAUGACG
RNAcentral lists this unclassified non-coding RNA (200 nucleotides) under Podospora sp. RNAcentral describes it as "partial internal transcribed spacer 2". The record is from RNAcentral. Lineage: Eukaryota; Fungi; Ascomycota; Sordariomycetes; Sordariales; Podosporaceae.